AGCGAACGCUGGCAGCAGGCUUAACACAUGCAAGUCGAACGGGUAUCUUCGGAUACUAGUGGCAGACGGGUGAGUAACACGUGGGAACGUACCUUUCGGUUCGGAAUAAUACAGGGAAACUUGUACUAAUACCGGAUAAGCCCUUCGGAGGAAAGAUUUAUCGCCGAUAGAUCGGCCCGCGUCUGAUUAGCUAGUUGGUG
Molecule: ribosomal RNA, 200 nt
Filed under: uncultured bacterium
Lineage: Bacteria
Description: partial 16S ribosomal RNA
Rfam family: Bacterial small subunit ribosomal RNA
Source: RNAcentral